Molecule: small nucleolar RNA, 138 nt
Organism: Astatotilapia calliptera (eastern happy)
Lineage: Eukaryota; Metazoa; Chordata; Actinopteri; Cichliformes; Cichlidae
Product: small nucleolar RNA SNORA15
Source: Ensembl
GCAUGGCUGAAUUCUGUUUUGCUCUGGAUGUAGUAAAUACAGUCAGACACCAUGCGACAUGAAUGCUUUCACAAACUGACUCAGCAGGAUGAGGGUGCUCAUUGUGCUUCUCAUUCUUACGUCAGAGUGAAUACAUCA